This 66-nucleotide transfer RNA is filed under the name Neobenedenia melleni. RNAcentral describes it as "tRNA-Lys". Lineage: Eukaryota; Metazoa; Platyhelminthes; Monogenea; Capsalidea; Capsalidae. The record is from RNAcentral.
ACUUUCGUCGGUAUUAAUAUAAAGUGUUAGAUUCUUACUCUAAAAAUGUUGGUUUAACUAUGACUA